UCCUUGGAUUCCGCGCGUGGCAACGGCUUGGCGCGGCGCUCGGGCCUGCGCGGGCCCUCAGUAGACUACUUUCUCGAGAAAGCCGCGUCGUCCCCGCUCGACCCGCGGCCGCCCCGCUCCCCUCACCGCGAGGUGCAAAUGAUGCAAAAUGUGCACCUGGCCUCAGAGACAGAUGAAGAUGAUCUUUAUUCUGGUUAUAAUGACUACAAUCCAAUCUAUGAUACUGAGGAACUAGAGAAUGACACAGCUUUUCAGCAAGCCGUGAGAACUAGUCAUGGCAGAAGACCUCCAGUAA
Molecule: long non-coding RNA, 295 nt
Organism: Hyaena hyaena (striped hyena)
Lineage: Eukaryota; Metazoa; Chordata; Mammalia; Carnivora; Hyaenidae
Exons: 3
Source: RefSeq, a predicted model, not a curated record